This 477-nucleotide ribosomal RNA is filed under the name uncultured bacterium. RNAcentral's name for it is "partial 16S ribosomal RNA". It matches the Rfam family "Bacterial small subunit ribosomal RNA", at positions 28 to 506 of the family's 1533-position model. The record is from RNAcentral.
GAUGAACGCUGGCGGCGUGCUUAACACAUGCCAGUCGAACGGGAAUUAUUUUAUUGAAACUUCGGUCGAUUUCAUUUAAUUCUAGUGGCGGACGGGUGAGUAACGCGUGGGUAACCUGCCUUAUACAGGGGGAUAACAGUCAGAAAUGGCUGCUAAUACCGCAUAAGCGCACAGAGCUGCAUGGCUCAGUGUGAAAAACUCCGGUGGUAUAAGAUGGACCCGCGUUGGAUUAGCUGGUUGGUGGGGUAACGGCCCACCAAGGCGACGAUCCAUAGCCGGCCUGAGAGGGUGAACGGCCACAUUGGGACUGAGACACGGCCCAGACUCCUACGGGAGGCAGCAGUGGGGAAUAUUGCACAAUGGGGGAAACCCUGAUGCAGCGACGCCGCGUGAAGGAAGAAGUAUCUCGGUAUGUAAACUUCUAUCAGCAGGGAAGAUAGUGACGGUACCUGACUAAGAAGCCCCGGCUAACUACGU